AAGAGGGGGACCUUCGGGCCUCUUGCCAUCAGAUGUGCCCAGAUGGGAUUAGCUAGUAGGUGGGGUAACGGCUCACCUAGGCGACGAUCCCUAGCUGGUCUGAGAGGAUGACCAGCCACACUGGAACUGAGACACGGUCCAGACUCCUACGGGAGGCAGCAGUGGGGAAUAUUGCACAAUGGGCGCAAGCCUGAUGCAGCCAUGCCGCGUGUAUGAAGAAGGCCUUCGGGUUGUAAAGUACUUUCAGCGGGGAGGAAGGCGAUAAGGUUAAUAACCUUGUCGAUUGACGUUACCCGCAGAAGAAGCACCGGCUAACUCCGUGCCAGCAGCCGCGGUAAUACGGAGGGUGCAAGCGUUAAUCGGAAUUACUGGGCGUAAAGCGCACGCAGGCGGUCUGUCAAGUCGGAUGUGAAAUCCCCGGGCUCAACCUGGGAACUGCAUU
Molecule: ribosomal RNA, 442 nt
Filed under: uncultured bacterium
Lineage: Bacteria
Description: bacterial SSU rRNA
Rfam family: Bacterial small subunit ribosomal RNA
Source: RNAcentral